CCCUACGGGGCGCAGCAGUGAGGAAUAUUGGUCAAUGGCCGGAAGACUGAACCAGCCAAGUAGCGUGAGGGAAGACGGCCCUAUGGGUUGUAAACCUCUUUUAUCCGGGGACAAAGGCGUCCACGUGUGGAUGUUUGCAGGUACCGCAUGAAUAAGGACCGGCUAAUUCCGUGCCAGCAGCCGCGGUAAUACGGAAGGUCCGGGCGUUAUCCGGAUUUAUUGGGUUUAAAGGGAGCGUAGGCCGGUCUUUAAGCGUGCCGUGAAA
RNAcentral lists this ribosomal RNA (265 nucleotides) under uncultured bacterium. Its description in RNAcentral is "partial 16S ribosomal RNA". It matches the Rfam family "Bacterial small subunit ribosomal RNA", at positions 337 to 599 of the family's 1533-position model. The record is from RNAcentral.